ACGCUGGCGGCAGGCCUAACACAUGCAAGUCGAGCGGUAGAGAGAAGCUUGCUUCUCUUGAGAGCGGCGGACGGGUGAGUAAUGCCUAGGAAUCUGCCUGGUAGUGGGGGAUAACGUUCGGAAACGGACGCUAAUACCGCAUACGUCCUACGGGAGAAAGCAGGGGACCUUCGGGCCUUGCGCUAUCAGAUGAGCCUAGGUCGGAUUAGCUAGUUGGUGAGGUAAUGGCUCACCAAGGCGACGAUCCGUAACUGGUCUGAGAGGAUGAUCAGUCACACUGGAACUGAGACACGGUCCAGACUCCUACGGGAGGCAGCAGUGGGGAAUAUUGGACAAUGGGCGAAAGCCUGAUCCAGCCAUGCCGCGUGUGUGAAGAAGGUCUUCGGAUUGUAAAGCACUUUAAGUUGGGAGGAAGGGCAGUAAAUUAAUACUUUGCUGUUUUGACGUUACCGACAGAAUAAGCACCGGCUAACUCUGUGCCAGCAGCCGCGGCAAUACAGAGGGUGCAAGCGUUAAUCGGAAUUACUGGGCGUAAAGCGCGCGUAGGUGGUUUGUUAAGUUGGAUGUGAAAUCCCCGGGCUCAACCUGGGAACUGCGUUCAAAACUGACUGACUAGAGUAUGGUAGAGGGUGGUGGAAUUUCCUGUGUAGCGGUGAAAUGCGUAGAUAUAGGAAGGAACACCAGUGGCGAAGGCGACCACCUGGACUAAUACUGACACUGAGGUGCGAAAGCGUGGGGAGCAAAC
This 745-nucleotide ribosomal RNA is filed under the name uncultured bacterium. Its description in RNAcentral is "bacterial SSU rRNA". It matches the Rfam family "Bacterial small subunit ribosomal RNA", at positions 33 to 773 of the family's 1533-position model. The record is from RNAcentral.